This 492-nucleotide ribosomal RNA is filed under the name uncultured bacterium. RNAcentral describes it as "partial 16S ribosomal RNA". It matches the Rfam family "Bacterial small subunit ribosomal RNA", at positions 30 to 507 of the family's 1533-position model. The record is from RNAcentral.
AGUGACCGCUGGCGGGAGGCCUAACACAUGCAAGUCGAACGGCAGCGCAGCCAGAGCUUGGUCUUACAGGGGCAGACUUGCGGACGGGUGAGCAACACAUCGCAAUCUACUUAUUCGUCAGGGACAACGUAAGGACACUUACGCCAAUACCGCAUACGACCUACGGGUGACAGCGGGCGACCUUCGGCCCUUGCGGGAUUGAAUGAGCCGAUGUCGGAUUAGCUAGGUGGCGGGGUAAACGCCCACCAAGGCGACGAUCCGUAGCUGGUCUGAGAGGAGGAUCAGCCACACUGGCACUGAGACAUGGACCAGACGCCGACGGGAGGAAGCAGCGGGGAAUAUUGGACAAUGGGCGCAAGCCGGAGCCAGCCAUACCGGGUGGGAGAAGAAGGGCUUCGGGUUGUAAAGUGGGUUUGGAGGGAAAGAAAGGGUGCGGGUUAUUACAGCGCGAUACUGACGGAACCACAAGGAUAAGCACCGGCUAACUCCGGG